Molecule: long non-coding RNA, 4812 nt
Organism: Anabas testudineus (climbing perch)
Lineage: Eukaryota; Metazoa; Chordata; Actinopteri; Anabantiformes; Anabantidae
Source: Ensembl
AAAUUUAGUAGCAACGUGUUUGCAGUGGGGGAAUAAGUGUCAUGUCGUCUCCAGCACUUCUCGGCUGACUUUAAACUCUUCUCUCUCCCUCUCUCCACCUCCUCUCUCUCUCUCUCUCUCUCUCUCUUUCUCUGUGUAAACUCGGAGCGCAGCGCGGACCUCUUUUUGUCCACAGUGACUGGACGGAGCGGGACACACGGGCAGACAGAGAGCGCGCAGUCCGCGCUGCCUCUCCACAGUUUGACAUCCACGUUGAGUUCAUCAGCGCUGGAGAUGACUCGGACCUGUCUGUGGACGACUGGGGUCAUUCUUCUUCUCGCUGGUGUUAUGGAGGUUGGUGUGUGGGCCAACGAUGGGGACGCAGUGUUCAUCAGAGAAUACACUCUGAUCCGACGAGACCACCUCCCCGAAGAGCCUCUCCACGACGGCAGCCAAAAACCAGAAGACCCGAGCUCGCGAACGGCCCGAUCGGAAGAGGACAGAGACACGCUGUGGGAUGCUUGGGGCUCGUGGAGUGAAUGCUCUCGUACCUGUGGAGGAGGAGCUUCAUACUCUCUCAGGCGAUGCCUCAGCUCCAGGACCUGUGAAGGACAGAAUAUCAAAUAUCGCACAUGCAGUAAUGUGGACUGCCCUCCAGAUGCCGGUGAUUUCCGCGCCCAACAGUGUUCAGCUCAUGCAGAUGUGCGAUACCAGGGUCAGUACCAUGAGUGGCUGCCUGUGUACAACGAUCCCGACAACCCCUGCGCACUCAAAUGCAAAGCAAAGGGUUCCGGUCUCGUGGUGGAGCUGGCGCCCAAGGUGCUGGAUGGGACUCGCUGUUACACCGAGUCUUUAGACAUGUGCAUCAGUGGAGUCUGUCAGAUUGUCGGUUGCGAUCAUGAGCUGGGGAGCACAUCAAAAGAGGACAACUGUGGCGUCUGCAAUGGAGACGGCUCAUCCUGUCGACUUGUGCGAGGACACUACAAAUCCCAGCAUGCUUCAGGAAAAGCUGAGGAUACUGUUGUCGUCAUUCCCUAUAAGAGUCGUCAUGUUCGUCUAGUCCUGAAAGGCCCGGAUCACUUGUAUGUGGAGAGUAAGACUCUACAAGGGGUGAAAGGGGAAUUAGUCUUAGACACGUCAGGCCAGUACCUCUUGGAGAACACCACCUUGGACUACCAGCAACUUUCUGAUAAGGAGGUCCUGAGAAUCACUGGCCCACUUGGAGCAGACUUCACUGUCAAAGUAAGAACUUAUGUUAAGCAUUACAGUGUUGUCCAGUACAUCUAUUAUCAGCCAAUCAUCCACCGCUGGAGAGAAACGGACUUCUUCCCUUGUUCUGUCACAUGUGGUGGAGGUUACCAGCUGACCUCCGCAGAGUGCUUUGACCUUCGGAGUGGUCGAGUUGUUGUAGAUCAGUAUUGCCACUAUUACCCAGAAAACGUCAAACCUAAACCCAAACUGCAGGAGUGCAACAUGGAGCCCUGUCUGGCCGGUGAUGGCUACAAACAAAUUAUGCCGUAUGACCUCUACCACCCGCUGCCUCGAUGGGAGAGCAGUCCCUGGACGGCCUGCUCCAUGUCCUGCGGCGGGGGAAUCCAAAGUCGCUCGGUGUCUUGUGUGGAGGAAGACAUGCAGGGAACCAUUACUCCCACUGAGGAGUGGAAGUGCCUGUACUCUCCAAGGACGGCUAUCCUGCAGCCCUGCAACACCUUCGACUGCCCGACUUGGCUGGCACAGGAGUGGUCACCAUGCACAGUGACCUGUGGUCAGGGGUUGCGCUACAGGGUGGUGUUAUGUAUCGAUCACAGGGGACUCCAUGCUGGAGGCUGCAACCCCACCACCAAACCCCACAUCAAGGAGGAGUGUCUGGUGACUGUGCCCUGCUACAAGUCCAUAGAUUCACUCCCAGUUGAGGCAAAACCUGUGUGGCAUAAGCAGGCCAUAGAGCUGGAAGAGGAAGUCACAGUGACCGAGGAGCCGACCUUCAUUCCAGGGCCCUGGCAGCCCUGCAGCCGAACAUGCGGCGCUGGAACCCAGCAACGAACUGUCAAGUGCCAGGUGCUGCUCUCCUUCUCCCAGACUGUUGCUGACCUGCCCGACGACGAGUGUGAGGGGGUCAAACCUGCAACAAGUCAGCCCUGCUACCGUACUCCCUGCUCUGGCGUUUUGGCCCAAGGAAAUGGAAAUGAAAACGAAAACGAAGGGGAGACACCUGAAAGAGAGGAACUGCACGACUGGGAGUACGAGGGGUUCACGGAGUGCUCAGAGAGUUGUGGGGGAGGUGUACAAGAGGCUGUAGUCAUCUGCCUGAACAAGCAGACCAGGGAGGCAGCAGACCAGAGCCUGUGUGUGAGCUCCCGUCGGCCUCCACAACUCCUCCAGGACUGCAAAACUCAGCCCUGCCCGCCCAGGUACGUGUGGGAAACAGGUGACUGGAGUUCAUGCUCUGCUACCUGCGGGGUUGGUCUGAGGACCCGCACCGUGGCUUGUACUCACCGACCUUCUAGGGACAGCAACCGAACUGAGGUUUUGAGGGUUGAAGAAUGUCAAAAUCCCAAGCCCAGCCCUUUCCAAGCUUGCAACCGAUUUGACUGCCCUCCCACGUGGGAAACACGGGACUGGGACCAGUGCUCCCAGAGCUGUGGUGGUGGAGUUCAAAAGAGGCAAGUCCUGUGCAAACAACGGUUGGCAGAUGGCAGCAUCCUGGAGCUGCCUGACACCUUCUGCUCUUCCAAGAUCCCUGCAAACCAGCAGCCCUGUGCCAAGCAGGAGUGCCCGCCGCAAUGGGUCACAACCAACUGGUCUGAGUGUUCAGUGACGUGUGGAAGCGGCAUUCAGAGACGUCAGACAGUUUGCAGAAAACAAGGCGACGAUCAGGCUGUAGACUCUAACAACUGUUCCCUGAAGGCCCAGCCAGUCAAAAUUCGUCCAUGCUCCCUCAGACUCUGUGACAGUAAGAGACCCCCUUUUUGGCUCUAUUGGCUUCAUUUUACACCUGAUCCUAGAAUACUGGCUCAGAGGAAGGUUUAUAUCCAGUGGAAGAAAAGCAAAAAGUUGCAGCUGGUAGUCGGAGGUUAUGCCUACCUCAUGCCUUGGACAACUGUGGUCCUUCGCUGCCCUACUCGCCACUUCCGAAAGGGCCACAUCCGGUGGUUGAAGGAAGGGAAGCCCUUGGUCGGCCUCCCACACCUCUCCGCAUCACUUGGAUCUGUAAAGAUUCAGCAGGUUCGUGCAUCUGAUGCCGGGGUGUACACGUGCGUUGCCGGCUGGGCGCGGGAACACCUGGUCCUACACAUUAUCGGCAGCAAGCAGAAACUCUCGGCUCCAGAUUCACGGCUCCUCAAAGGUGGACAACAAAACACUGGACGGGCAGGUGUGGCUCCGACGGGAGAAGGAUUUCAAGAGCUACCCAUCUCCCUCAACCAGUAUGACAAAAUUGUUGAGAAUUUGCUUGAACUCAAAGACUCUGCCCAAGAUGACAAAGACAUUAAUGACAAACCUCACUCCAGCGAAAAGAACAGGUCAAGCCUGGAGGGUGGGAGGGCCAAUGUAGAACUUUCCACUCCAGUUGUGCUUGUUGCUGAUACCCACAGGCUUGAUGAGCUCAUGCACAGCCUCUCCGAAGGCCUCAGAGGGCGACGGGGGGAACACCUCAUUGCUCAGUUGCUCAGCGAGCUCCUUAUGACACAAGGUGAAACCAACGAGUCCACUCUUCAUCCUCCAGAAAGUGCAGAAUCUUCCACACAAGGGCCUCUUCUUUAUAAACCAAGCGUCAAAGCUCAUGGAUCGAGGCCAAGAAACCCAAUAAUGGUCCAACACCCCAGGAAGGUUGGAGUGUUGCCAUCAUCUGAAAUGGUAGUACAAGUGGGGUUGCCAGCUUCGCUGCAGAAACCAGUUGCGAGUUUGGAGCUGAGAUGUGAGGCAGUGGGGAACCCUGAACCGUCACUGACCUGGACAAAGAACGGAAAAGAGUUGCAGUUUAACAUCUGCAUAAAAUAUUGCUCUGUGACAGAACUGCCUCCGAUUCAGUGCUCCCUUUGCUUUUGUGUUGGCAGAGUAGGCCUGUUGCCCACUGGCUCACUGAGGAUUCGGGCACCAAACAAAGCGGACGAGGGUUUGUACACCUGCACUGCCAGGAAUCGAUAUGGAUCGACGUCUCUUUCGUCUUGGCUGCAGAUUGCAGGUAAAGUCGAUGAACGCAGAAGCUCAAUAGUUAUUGUUUUUUGUUUGUUUUUUUGUGGAUGGAUCAGGUGGCGAGCAGACUUUUGGUCACCGUGUUCAGCCACUUGUGGAGGUGGUUCACAGACCAGGAGUGUCCGCUGCAUUAAAGGUCCAGAGGGCAGAUCGACAGAGGUGGAGAGCCGGCACUGUCGCGACGCAGGCCGGAGACCCUCUGACUCAAGGCUAUGCAACCUUCUGCCCUGUGCCAGAUGGGCCACCACCUCCUGGGGGCCGGUGACCAGCUGUCAGCAUUACGUCUUACAUGUAUGUGUGUUUUUACACUGCAGGCCCAGCUCACUGAAGAAUUGCUCCACAGUGGCCUGUGCGCUCCAUUGGCGUGCGGGUCCAUGGACGCAGUGCACCGCCACAUGUGGGCGCCAUGGUUUCCAGUCACGCCAGGUGACCUGUUUGCACCGUCGAACUGGCAGGACCGCACGUGAACAUCACUGCAUGUGGAGACCUCGCCCUCCAAGCUGGCAGCGAUGCAAUAUCCUGUCCUGUGGCAGAGAGUGCAGAGACAGCACGAGGUACUGCGAGAGGGUUCGACAGCUGGAGCUCUGCCCGCUGCCCCAAUUUAAGAGCCGUUGCUGUCAGUCCUGCCGAAACACCUGA